GGUUGUUCUCGAAUGACACACCUCGGAAUCGGGCUCCCUCCUUUCUGGUUCCAGGGUGCAUCACCCGAGAACCACA
Myotis brandtii (Brandt's bat) is the source of this 76-nucleotide non-coding RNA. Lineage: Eukaryota; Metazoa; Chordata; Mammalia; Chiroptera; Vespertilionidae. The record is from Rfam.